Oncorhynchus kisutch (coho salmon) is the source of this 811-nucleotide long non-coding RNA. RefSeq lists it as uncharacterized. The record is from RefSeq and is a predicted model, not a curated record. The transcript is spliced from 2 exons. NCBI's taxonomy places the organism in Eukaryota, Metazoa, Chordata, Actinopteri, Salmoniformes, Salmonidae.
UUAGUUAACACCGUGUCCAACGAUGGGACAGAAGUAUACAGAAUGGUGUCUUCUGCGUAGAGGUGGAUCAGAGACUCACCAGCAGCGAGACCGAAAUCAUUGACGUCUACAGAGAAGAGAGUCGGCCCGAGAAUUGAACCCUGUUGCACCCCCAUAGUCUGCCAGAGGUCCGGACAACAGGCCCUCUGAGGAUGGAGCGAAAACCCGCUGACACUCGGCCCUCCGUGAGUUUGACACGUGAUCCAAAGAAUCGGAUACAUUUGGAGAGUAGACAGGCAAAAAGGGCAAGAUGACAAGAUGAGAGAACCUCGGAUUUGCGUUUUACACAUUGGAGAGAACUAAGGCAGUUGAAGGGAUUUAAAACCCAGAAUUAGAUUUUUUUUUUUUCAACUGAAAAGCUAAAGGAGACUCCACACUAACCAAGUCUCGAAGGUGAAAGUGUCUACGCAUUUGAAAACGUCAAAGGACUAUACCUACAUCCCAGGACUUCAGAGAGAAGUAUUGUGAAGACUGGGAUCUCAAUUUGGGGGGGGGUCUACUAAGGAGAAAGAUCAUGUGAUCAGAUUACCAGGACUUCCUGAAGUGUCACAGGGUGCAGUAACCUUUUAUGAGCUGGGAAUGUCUGGAGCUUUCCCCGUUGUCAGAUUUGGUUGUUCCCAGGAAGUGUGUGAACCUACAGAUUUGGUUGUUCCCAGGAAGUGUGUGAACCUACAGAUUUGGUUGUUCCCAGGAAGUGUGUGAACCUACAGAUUUGUAGUUGAAAGACGUUUGGAUGUUUGUGUGGGCAACAAUAAACUUGUGUGAAAAACAA